This 450-nucleotide ribosomal RNA is filed under the name uncultured bacterium. RNAcentral's name for it is "SSU rRNA". It matches the Rfam family "Bacterial small subunit ribosomal RNA", at positions 26 to 518 of the family's 1533-position model. The record is from RNAcentral.
AGAACGAACGCUGGCGGCAGGCCUAAUACAUGCAAGUCGAACGCACUCUUCGGAGUGAGUGGCAGACGGGUGAGUAACGCGUGGGAACCUUCCCAAUGGUACGGAAUAACUCCGGGAAACCGGUGCUAAUACCGUAUAAGCCCCUCGGGGGAAAGAUUUAUCGCCAUUGGAUGGGCCCGCGUCGGAUUAGCUAGUUGGUAAGGUAAUGGCUUACCAAGGCUACGAUCCGUAGCUGGUCUGAGAGGAUGAUCAGCCACACUGGGACUGAGACACGGCCCAGACUCCUACGGGAGGCAGCAGUAGGGAAUCUUGGACAAUGGGCGAAAGCCUGAUCCAGCCAUGCCGCGUGAGUGAAGAAGGCCUUAGGGUUGUAAAAGCUCGUUUUGGCGGGGUACGAGUAAUGACGGUACCCGCAGAAUAAGCCCCGGCUAACUUCGUGCCAGCAGCCGC